GAUGAACGCUGGCGGCGUGCCUAAUACAUGCAAGUCGAGCGAAUGGAUUAAGAGCUUGCUCUUAUGAAGUUAGCGGCGGACGGGUGAGUAACACGUGGGUAACCUGCCCAUAAGACUGGGAUAACUCCGGGAAACCGGGGCUAAGCCCGGAUAACAUUUUGAACCGCAUGGUUCGAAAUUGAAAGGCGGCUUCGGCUGUCACUUAUAGAUGGACCCGCGGCGAAUUAGCUAGUUGGUGAGGUAACGGCGCACCAAGGCAACGAUGGGUAGCCGACCUGGGAGGGUGAUCGGCGACACUGGGACUGAGACACGGCCCAGACUCCUACGGGAGGCAGCAGUAGGGAAUCUUCCGCAAUGGACGAAAGUCUGACGGAGCAACGCCGCGUGAGUGAUGAAGGCUUUCGGGUCGUAAAACUCUGUUGUUAGGGAAGAACAAGUGCUAGUUGAAUAAGCUGGCACCUUGACGGUACCUAACCAGAAAGCCACGGCUAACUACGUGCCAGCCGCCGCAGUAA
Molecule: ribosomal RNA, 515 nt
Filed under: uncultured bacterium
Lineage: Bacteria
Description: partial 16S ribosomal RNA
Rfam family: Bacterial small subunit ribosomal RNA
Source: RNAcentral